RNAcentral lists this ribosomal RNA (253 nucleotides) under uncultured bacterium. RNAcentral describes it as "partial 16S ribosomal RNA". It matches the Rfam family "Bacterial small subunit ribosomal RNA", at positions 524 to 776 of the family's 1533-position model. The record is from RNAcentral.
UACGUAGGGGGCAAGCGUUGUCCGGAAUUAUUGGGCGUAAAGAGCGCGUAGGCGGUCCGGUAAGUCAGCUGUGAAAGUCAAGGGCUCAACCCUUGAAAGCCGGUUGAUACUGUCGGGCUAGAGUCCGGAAGAGGCGAGUGGAAUUCCCGGUGUAGCGGUGAAAUGCGCAGAUAUCGGGAGGAACACCGGUGGCGAAGGCGGUUCUCUGGGCAUUACCUGACGCUGAGGAGCGAAAGUGUGGGGAGCGAACAGG